This 236-nucleotide unclassified non-coding RNA is filed under the name plant metagenome. RNAcentral's name for it is "partial contains small subunit ribosomal RNA, internal transcribed spacer 1, and 5.8S ribosomal RNA". The record is from RNAcentral.
UUUCCGUAGGUGAACCUGCGGAAGGAUCAUUACUGAGUGAGGGCCCCUCGGGGUCCAACCUCCCACCCGUGUUUAACGAACCUUGUUGCUUCGGCGGGCCCGCCUCACGGCCGCCGGGGGGCAUCUGCCCCCGGGCCCGCGCCCGCCGAAGCCACCUGUGAACGCUGUCUGAAGUAUGCAGUUUGAGACAAUUAUUAAAUUAAUUAAAACUUUCAACAACGGAUCUCUUGGUUCCG